GAUGAACGCUGGCGGCGUGCCUAAUACAUGCCAGUCGAGCGAACAGACGAGGAGCUUGCUCCUCUGACGUUAGCGGCGGACGGGUAAGUAACACGUGGAUAACCUACCUAUAAGACUGGGAUAACUUCGGGAAACCGGAGCUAAUACCGGAUAACAUGUUGAACCGCAUGGUUCAACAGUGAAAGACGGUCUUGCUGUCACUUAUAGAUGGAUCCGCGCCGCAUUAGCUAGUUGGUAAGGUAACGGCUUACCAAGGCAACGAUGCGUAGCCGACCUGAGAGGGUGAUCGGCCACACUGGAACUGAGACACGGUCCAGACUCCUACGGGAGGCAGCAGUAGGGAAUCUUCCGCAAUGGGCGAAAGCCUGACGGAGCAACGCCGCGUGAGUGAAGAAGGUCUUCGGAUCGUAAAACUCUGUUAUUAGGGAAGAACAAAUGUGUAAGUAACUAUGCACGUCUUGACGGUACCUAAUCAGAAAGCCACGGCUAACUACGUG
Molecule: ribosomal RNA, 497 nt
Filed under: uncultured bacterium
Lineage: Bacteria
Description: partial 16S ribosomal RNA
Rfam family: Bacterial small subunit ribosomal RNA
Source: RNAcentral